UGAUAGAGGCGCAGCGCGCAAUCAGUAGCUUUUUCGGAGAAGGCGGUCGUCUGCCGGCGAAAAAGGGAAAGGUGCCGUUGCCGAAAGCAUGCAGGGACGGAACUGCAUUGCUUGGUUUGGCAGAUAAUAUCUGUCCGACUGUCGUUUUUGCGGAGAGCUAUCGG
RNAcentral lists this non-coding RNA (164 nucleotides) under human gut metagenome. RNAcentral's name for it is "Lysine riboswitch". It matches the Rfam family "Lysine riboswitch aptamer". Rfam says of the family: Riboswitches are metabolite binding domains within certain messenger RNAs that serve as precision sensors for their corresponding targets. Allosteric rearrangement of mRNA structure is mediated by ligand binding, and this results in modulation of gene expression. The record is from RNAcentral.